UUAAAAAAAAAGAUUUUUAAAAAGCGAAGAUUUUGAAAUAUAAACUGUUAAACCAUUUUUGGAGUUUUUAAAAAUAUAUAAACAUACAGACUUUUACAAAUAAAAUGGAUACCUAAUAAAUACUCAUUUUAAAAGUUUUUUGAUAUAUAAAUAUAUAAACUUUACAAAUAAAAUGGAUGCCUAACAAAUACUCAUUUUAAAAGUUAUUCUUUAAAUAUAUAAACUUCUACAAAUAAAAUGGAUACCUAAUAAAUACUCAGUUUUCUUUGAUACUGUUUAGUUAAUAAUGUAUACCUUGAUUUAAAACUCUUACUGAAGGAAGUGUCUUACUAAGCUAGGGCUUUCCUUUAAUAUCUAAAAUGCAGGGUUUUGAUCUUAACAUAUACUUUUAAAAAACCUAAUAGACUUUAUUUUUUAGUUUUGAGUUCACAGGAAAAUUGAGUGGAAAGUAUACAGAGCUCCCAUAUAUUCCCAUCCUCCUCACACACACUUAACAUCUCUUAAACUUGGUAACUGAUAAGUGUGUGAGUGUGGUAAUAUUUUAGGUAACAGUCUUUUUCACCAACAAUAUUUUUAUCCUACUGAGUGUUAGGCUGUAAGUAUUCUUUAUUUUUAUUGUCUGUGAACUAAUUCAGAAACAAGUAUUACUUUUCUAAAACUUACAAAUUAAAAGACCAAAUUAAUGUUCUAAUGAAGUCAGCUAGGUCCUGUUUCCUAGAAUAUUUGGGAGAUGGCCAAACUAUUUAAACCAAAAAGUUGAAAAAUAAUUACUGUAAAGUUAUGUGCUUCAUGUAGAGUUAAGUAACAGUUGUUACAUUUCAUUUUCUUCAGUUACCGUGUGCCAUAGGAACUCACUUAGUCUGGUCACUGAAAAGCUGUUUUAAAAUGCUUUCUCUUGAAUUGAUAUCAGCUGUCAUCUACACCUACAACUUUUAUAGGGUUUACAGAUUGGUACCCGAGAAUUGGAAGAGAUGGGAGCAAAAUUUUGUGUUGGUCUUUUACGUUUGAAAAGACUGACAUCUCCACUAGAGUACAAUCUGCCUUCCAGCCUGCUUGACUUUGAAAAUGAUUUAAUUGAAUCAAGCUGCAAAGUAACUAGCCCUACCACUUACGUUUUGGAUGAAGAUGAACCUCGAUUCCUUGAAGAAGUUGAUUACAGUGCAGAAAGUAAUGAUGAAUUAGAUAUUGAGUUGGCUGAAAAUGUGGGAGAUUAUGAAUCUUCUGCUCAAGAAGAAGUACUUUCUGACUCUGAAUUAUCAAGAACAUACCUACCCUGA
RNAcentral lists this long non-coding RNA (1277 nucleotides) under Cebus imitator (Panamanian white-faced capuchin). RNAcentral describes it as "lncRNA (ENSCCAG00000038161.1)". The record is from RNAcentral. Lineage: Eukaryota; Metazoa; Chordata; Mammalia; Primates; Cebidae.